AAAACGUUAUUAAAUACCCGUAAAACCAAAAGCUAGUAGAUUUUCUGUUCACUGGUUUACGUAGGGUUCGACACUCAUCAAUUGAACAGUUACGCAGUGUUCGAUUAGAAGAACAUUUGGACACUUAUUCGAAACAUGGUUAACAAGGUCAAAUAACAUUUGUUGUAUGUCUGCGUAUCAACGGAAGUCAACGUAACGUAAACGUUCCGAGUCUCGUGUCCAUUGGUGCUGUUCUAGUUAAGCAUUACUUCAGAUAAUCGGUGCCUCCUUCUGCCAACACGAACCGAAAUGUGUCUUCGCUAUGUUUUGAACCCGUGGCACCUCACUGUCCCUACGUGCGGUAGGCACACAAAUCUCUCAGAUACGAGAUACGGAACCAUGUUCUUGGCCAAUACAGAGUUAUUUUCGAAAUGCACUCAGUUAAUAACAUGGAUUCACGUUUAAAAUAGAGGUUCUUCUGUCGCCUGCGAUCAUUUCAAGUACUCGUUAACCGCUGGCGUACACCCUGUAAUACAGAGAAGGCUUAACAAAGACCUGAACAGCUCUAAACCCGCACAUAACAAAUAUCGCCGUCGACAUAUUGACUGCACUGUCAGACCCUUGUAGCUUGGAAAUACCGGCCGGAAAUAUUGCUUUAUUUAUUGAAGUAAACGAAGUAGCUGUCAACUUGUUUAGCAUUGCAAGAUGGCCGUAAUGGGGACACUGGUUACCAAUGACGAAAAAAUGACUCUUUACUAUCUGUUUUUAUCGCGCAUACGUUGUGAGGAGGACAAGGUGGCCUGGUACAAUGAAACGUUUACGUUUCCUGAUAAAAACUUACCGUUUCUCAAACAGACCUAUGAUGGACCGUGCGGGGUUUUGGCUGUCGUACAGGCACGAAUCAUCAAAGCCUACUGCCAAGAUGGAAUACGUGAAUCUGUCGUGUCCGACACGAACAAAAUUCUUCUUAUAUUAGCUCUUGCAAAAACUAUAUGGUUAGCUGCGCAAAGUAACCACAGCGGUGGGACAGCUGAGGCUGUAUUUUUUUCGACCAACUCAAGUUCAGAACACUGGCACCGUUCUGUCGCGACCUCGUUAACGGAGUUAGUGGAUAUUAUCCGCACGAAUCAGAAAGACAUGAGCCAGUACGGAGUUUUACCAUUCAUAUGCUCGGUGAUCGCGUCAAAGGGCGGCAUGGAGUGGAGUAAUUUACUGACAGAACGUGGCGACUGUGAUCAAACUCUGGUAAACCUCCUCAUAAGCGGGCGGGCAGCUCUCACGCUGGCGGACGGAUCUAAUCCGGAUUUUCCAGGCAUACAUGAACAAACGGACAUCGGCUUCCUUCCCACGCCAGAUGUGGCUAUGGAGCUGCAAUUGGGUUCUUACCUUAAAAAUCCACCUUACCCAGUGUGGGUCAUUAAUAGAGCGGCACACUAUUCUGUCGUAUGCUGCGAGGAUGCAGGGUUAUUGCAGGACAAGCCCGGAAUCUACACCCUGUGCUAUCUUCGUUUAAGUGGGCGCAGCGCACUCCUGAAGUUCCUCAUCGACCUCGAACAACCGAUCGCGAAACUGGCUGCAGUCCGUAAAUCCAGAAUCUCACUUUCAAACCAAGCGAACUACAAACCGUCUUUUCCUUCCAGGAACAGCAAGAUGCAAAAGGUUACAGCGAUGGACAAUAUGCGCCGAUGUAAGAUUUUGUGACGCAACCACUGGCAGGUGAUCAGCCCGAAUUCAGUGACCCCAGCGAACUUAGACUAGCCAAAACCUAGCUUUGAACGGGAUUGCACCUGGAUGGAGGACACUCGGAGGAGGAUCAAGUUGACGCUGAUGUGAGGCAACCGAUAGCCCAAAAAUAGUUUUGUUUUCCGGGUAAAUAAAG
Molecule: non-coding RNA, 1858 nt
Organism: Varroa destructor (honeybee mite)
Lineage: Eukaryota; Metazoa; Arthropoda; Arachnida; Mesostigmata; Varroidae
Source: RefSeq, a predicted model, not a curated record